AACCCUAUUGGGAGCACUCGACCACACGGUGCGUGAGUGCAAAUUUUUGGAUAGUGGUUCCGGGGUUGCCGGGGCUGCGCAAGAUU
This 86-nucleotide small nuclear RNA is filed under the name Ascaris lumbricoides (common roundworm). Its description in RNAcentral is "UsnRNA X". The record is from RNAcentral. Lineage: Eukaryota; Metazoa; Nematoda; Chromadorea; Rhabditida; Ascarididae.